This 3983-nucleotide small RNA is filed under the name Pongo abelii (Sumatran orangutan). RNAcentral describes it as "retained intron". Lineage: Eukaryota; Metazoa; Chordata; Mammalia; Primates; Hominidae. The record is from RNAcentral.
CAGUCCUGAUCUCCUUUCCCUCUCUAUGGAUGUAUCUAUUCUGGACAUUUCAUAUAAAUGGGUUCAUACAAUAGGUGGCUUCUUUUACUUUGUGUAAUAUUUUUGACGUUUAUCCAUGUUAUAGCGUGUGGUGGUUCUUCCUUUUCUUGGCUGAGUAAUAUUCCAUCAUGUGGAGACAUCAUCUUUUGUUUAUCCGUUGCGCAGUUUGUAGACACUGGGUUGUUUCCACCUUUGGGCUCUUGUGAACAAUGCUGCUGUGAACCUCCGUGCACAAGGAUUUUCUUGGGGACCUGUUUCUUCCUCUCAUCCUUGCCUCCUACCACUCUCCCCAUUACCAUAUUUUUCCAAACCAGACAUCAGCGCACGAGCUACGUGUGUAUUUAGGAAAGCAUCUGUGGAGGGAAACAGCUUGCCUCAUGCUGCCCCUGCUUCCUGUCUACCCUUCUCCAAGCCUUUUUCGUCCGCUGUCACCUAGGCUUUUGGUUAAUCACAUGUUGGGAUUAAUCCCAUUUUGUCUUUGGGUAAUUAACAUGUGAUGUCCACGCAUUAUCUCCACGGUGAAAGUCUUAAGGUCAAGGUCCCUCUUGGGGUUCUGUGUCCCCUGCAGAGCUGGGCACAGCUUGGGGCAGCUAAGCAGUCCCCUAGUUCCUAGGCCCUUGCUUGCCCCGUGCCACCUGUCCACUGGUGACUAACCCUCUUGCACUCUGCCCUGUCCCCCUUGCAGAUGAUGUGCUGACUAAAGACGCGGGUGAGUGUGUGAUCUGCCUGGAGGAGCUGCUGCAGGGGGACACGAUAGCCAGGCUGCCCUGCCUGUGCAUCUAUCACAAAAGGUAGGAGGGGUUGGCAAGGUAGCUCAGUGCACACGACCUCCCAGAGGGGCGGACCCCCAUCUCCAGCCAUUCUCUCUCCUUUGGUUAUGGGAUGACCUCUCCCCCGACCUCUGGCUCCAAGUGGGUAAGGGCAGAGGCCGUCAGACAGGUGUCCACUGUGCUGGCGGGAAGGUGCGAGCAUCCCAAGCGCAGGGCAGAGUUGAGUUGCCAGAGGUGUGCUCUGGUUUGAGGGCUCAGGUGGUAGGAGCUGAUGGGGAGACCCGUAGAGCCUCACAGGUUGGAGGAGCUUAGAAUCCCACCGGGAAGGUUGGUUCUCCGUCUGUCUCCCUGCCUCUUCUUCCUCUACGGGCCCCUCUGCUGCACAGGGGGAGAACAUCAAUCUGUGCGAGGAAGGCCAGGCGGAGCGUGUACCCACUGCUUUGCACUGGCCUUCUCCCUAGAGGGCCAGGAGGCGGGAAGAGCCAUUUCCUGUGGGGCCACAGCACUGGGCGCAGUUAAAAGUAGCAGGGCCCAGAUAUGCCUUCGGACUCCAGUGUGAGCCUCGUCCUUGUUUCCAGCUGGAAGGAAGGCACCCUCUUGCCCAAGACAGGACACUGUGCUGCCUGUGGCAAGCACCUGCUGAAUCCUCGAGCCCAGAGCUUCUUCCUGACACUCAGGCCUUUCAAACCCUGACUCUCAGGGCCACUGCUGCAUAGGGUGACAACCGGGCAUGGCACGCAGUGUGGCUGGUGCAGAGGAGGCUCAAGGCUGGCCUGGGAGAGAUUCUUGGUCUAGCUCCCAGCACGGAGCCUUGCUUGUGUCCCAGGGAGGCACUAACCAGAACCAGAAAAGGAAAUCUUUGGCUCUCGGGGAGAAUUAUGCAAAUUAUCUGUCUGGUUCCUGUCUUUGAAAAUGCCCAGAUGUUGGUUUACAAAUCAGGAAGCUGUCUUGGGGCAAUCUCUGUUCUCUCUUUGAUGCAGAGAGCCUUUCUCUGUAAACACUGGAGAGCAGGGCUUCACUGUCUGGCUCCCCUCCCGCCUCUUGCAGGAAGGACUAGAUGCUGCUGAUCAGCUGAUCAUGGCUGAGCAGGGUAGAGCUUGGGGGCUCUCCUAAGAGGUCACCCACUGGGAGGGAGCCUCACAGCUGUUCUUUUGACCCAGAAAGGAGCUCUUUCAGGACCGUGGCACCCAGAGCCGUGGCCCUCCUGCCAUGCCAUUGUUCCCACUUCCCUGCCCUUGGAGUCUUGGUGACAGCUGACUAGCUGCCCUGAGGGGUCCACCACUCUCACCUUCUCAAUGGUGGCUGCUGCCAUCCUCCUGGGCUCUGUGCACAGAAAGCUUUGGUCCUUCUGAAGGCCACUCUGCCCCUUCCUGCAGCACCAGAUCCCCCUGAGCCGGUACCCACCACUGCUGCCUCCAGCUGGGCCAGACUAGUCUUGGUGUUCGCCCUUCUUCCUGCUUCGGAUAGUAGUGAUAUUUGGGAACAUGACUGUGUUUCCCUGGGGUCCUUUCAGAAGAGACUUAGGAAGCUCCUGCUCAGGAAUCUGGCCCUUUGAAAGAGCCCCUUCAAAGCAGCCUGGGCAGCAGGUAACGUGGUUUCCCUUGCGGCCCCCUCCCCCCAGCUGCAUAGACUCGUGGUUUGAAGUGAACAGAUCUUGUCCGGAACACCCUGCGGACUGACCUGCGGGCUUGCUUGCUGACUCCUCUCAAAGGUGAGCCCGCGUUUGGGGGUGCUCCAGGCUCAAGGCUUGGGGUCAGGUCACUUUGGGGGCCUGCAGUUUAGGGAGCUGGGCUGCCCUUAUGCCACUGAGAAGAAAGCAGGAGCAGAGGGAAGGAGCACCUUAUCAGUGAGCAGUUAGUCAUCCGGAAAUGAUUUUCCCUGGGAAGGACAAGAGAUACAAACCAACAUGGACAGUUAUGAAGAACAGGCUCAGAAGAGUUAGGAUCAGUUGGGGAAGAGACCAGUACAAUCUACAUUACUAAAGAAAGUUCAGGAAUAUCCCCUGGGAAUGUGCACUGGCAGGAAAAGGAGCCUGAGCGCUGGGUUUGUGCCUGGCUUGGCCUCAUCCUCGCUCACCUCUGAGUCUCCGCCUCUUCUCUCGUAACGGGGAUAAUCUCACUCCCUGUUGCCAUAAGGACAUUGCACUUACUAAACAGCCAUGGGCAGUGCAUUGUUCCCUGCAAAGUGCUGGUCAGCGAUCAUUUGACCACUGCUUCUUCCCAUGCCGCUUCCAGAUGAAUCUGAGGCCUCCAGGCCAGACUCGAUCCCUCCAUCCCACAGCACUGGGUGCUGACUCCACACAUCCCCCUGGCUUACUGCUGGGUCUGGCCUCCCCAUUUCUCCCCCAGGGGUACCCCGCUUGCUGCCAACCAUCCACCCCUGACCCCCAUCUCACCUGUCCCUUCCAAGUUCUGGGCUGGCAUUUUCCUUUUUCUGGCAAACAAGUAGACAAAACCCCCAUAAAAACCAAAAGCCCAACUCCAUCUCACAGCCAAAGGUUUUGGGGCCUCUUUUCUUCCCCCCUCCCUUUCUCUCUCUCUUGUUUUUGUUUUCUUUUGUUAGGUUUAUUUUAUUUAUUCCAAGUAAACUCCCAGAACAGAACAGCUGAUGAUGUCAGACAAAUCAGGGACAUGCUCUUUUUACCUCCACCUCAAAAACUGAUGACAAGGGGAGAAGAAAGAGCCAGGGGGAGAGCGAGGCAGGGGAGUAGAACCCGCCCAGGCACAUGGCUGCAAAUUCCCCGUGUGCUGUUUGGCUUCUGGGGUCCUGUGUAGACGCCCCAGCCCCGCCUGCCCUCUCGGGAUGCAGCUGCCCUGGGAUGAGCAGCCAGCCCGAUGGAGCACGACUUAUUUCUUACGGUCCACACAGGGACAGAGAGCCCCUGCUCCAGGGAGGAGGCUCACCGGACCCUGGGGCAGAGCUGAGCUUGGGACACCAGCGGGAACAGGGCACCCCUUCUGCACUGACUUCCAGAUCAUGGUUCUCCCUUCCUCCCUGAGGACACCAAAUUGGAUGAGAGCAAGUUUGAGAGAAGAAUGAAUCAACUGCUAUCCUUCCCCUCACCCCUCAGCCCAGGAGGGAAAGGGCAUUUUCUUUUUCAUCUUUGAAAGGCAUUGUGGGUCUGUCUUUAAAGUGUUUACAAAAAAAAAAUUAUAUAAAAAAAGUCUAGUGUCG